This 720-nucleotide ribosomal RNA is filed under the name Burkholderia cenocepacia. RNAcentral describes it as "bacterial LSU rRNA". It matches the Rfam family "Bacterial large subunit ribosomal RNA", at positions 2217 to 2925 of the family's 2925-position model. Lineage: Bacteria; Pseudomonadati; Pseudomonadota; Betaproteobacteria; Burkholderiales; Burkholderiaceae. The record is from RNAcentral.
AGGUUCUAACCUUGGCCCGUGAUCCGGGUCGGGGACAGUGCAUGGUAGGCAGUUUGACUGGGGCGGUCUCCUCCCAAAGCGUAACGGAGGAGUACGAAGGUACGCUAGGUACGGUCGGAAAUCGUGCUGAUAGUGCAAUGGCAUAAGCGUGCUUAACUGCGAGACCGACAAGUCGAGCAGGUGCGAAAGCAGGUCAUAGUGAUCCGGUGGUUCUGUAUGGAAGGGCCAUCGCUCAACGGAUAAAAGGUACUCUGGGGAUAACAGGCUGAUACCGCCCAAGAGUUCAUAUCGACGGCGGUGUUUGGCACCUCGAUGUCGGCUCAUCUCAUCCUGGGGCUGUAGCCGGUCCCAAGGGUAUGGCUGUUCGCCAUUUAAAGAGGUACGUGAGCUGGGUUUAAAACGUCGUGAGACAGUUUGGUCCCUAUCUGCCGUGGGCGUUGGAUAUUUGAAGGGGGCUGCUCCUAGUACGAGAGGACCGGAGUGGACGAACCUCUGGUGUACCGGUUGUCACGCCAGUGGCAUCGCCGGGUAGCUAUGUUCGGAAGAGAUAACCGCUGAAAGCAUCUAAGCGGGAAACUCGCCUUAAGAUGAGAUAUCCCUGGGGACUAGAUCCCCUUGAAGGGUCGUUCGAGACCAGGACGUUGAUAGGUCGGGUGUGUAAGCGCAGUAAUGCGUUCAGCUAACCGAUACUAAUUGCCCGUAAGGCUUGAUCCUAUAACA